This 788-nucleotide non-coding RNA is filed under the name Ochthebius lederi. Lineage: Eukaryota; Metazoa; Arthropoda; Insecta; Coleoptera; Hydraenidae. The record is from RNAcentral.
AUAAAGUUUUAUUUUAGCUUAAUAUAUUAAUUAAUAAAAUUUUUAUAUAUAAAUUUUUUUGUUUUAUAUUUUUUUAUUUUAAUAGUAAAAAUUUUUAGAAUUAUUUGUAGUUUAUAAAUUUUAUUUUUUUUUAAGAAAUUAAGAAUAAGUUAUUUAUUUUAGUAUUAACAAAAUUUGUGCCAGCAGUUGCGGUUAUACAAAUAAUACAAUUAAUAUUUAUUGGUUAAUAAUUAAUUAUUAUUAUUAUUUAGCUAAAUUUAAAUUUAUUAAGUGAAAUUUUAAAUUUGAUUUAUUUAAAAAAAAAUGUUAUGAAAUUAUUAAAAUUUUGUUAUAAACUAGGAUUAGAUACCCUAUUAUAAAAAUUGUAAAUUUUAAAUAUUUGAUUAGUAUUAGUUAUUUUCUUGAAAAUUAAAAAUUUUGGCGGUAUUUUAGUCUUUUCAGAGGAACCUGUUCUAUAAUCGAUAGUCCACGAUUAAAUGUACUUAUUUUAUUAGUUUAUAUAUCAUCGUAGGUCGAAUAUUUUUUUAGAAUUUUAAUAUUCAAGAUUUAUAAUAAUGAAAAAAAUCAGAUCAAGGUAUAGCUUAUAUAUAAGAAGAAAUGGGUUACAAUAAAUUUAUUUAAAUGGAUUUAAAAUUGUGAAAUUUUUAUGAAAUUGGAUUUGAAAGUAAUAUAAUUAAUUUAAAUUAUAUGAUUAAAGCUCUAAAAUAUGCACAUAUCGCCCGUCGCUUUCAUAUAAAAUGAGAUAAGUCGUAACAAAGUAGGUGUACUGGAAAGUGUAUCUAGAAAGA